This 256-nucleotide ribosomal RNA is filed under the name uncultured bacterium. RNAcentral describes it as "partial 16S ribosomal RNA". It matches the Rfam family "Bacterial small subunit ribosomal RNA", at positions 524 to 776 of the family's 1533-position model. The record is from RNAcentral.
UACGUAGGGCGCAAGCGUUGUCCGGAAUUAUUGGGCGUAAAGAGCUCGUAGGCGGUUUGUUGCGUCGGCUGUGAAAUCCCGAGGCUCAACCUCGGGUCUGCAGUCGAUACGAGCAAACUAGAGUGUUGCAGGGGAGACUGGAAUUCCUGGUGUAGCGGUGAAAUGCGCAGAUAGUCAGGAGGAACACCGGUGGCGAAGGCGGGUCUCUGGACAACAACUGACGCUGGAGGAGCGAAAGCCGUGGGGGAGCAACAGG